RNAcentral lists this ribosomal RNA (368 nucleotides) under Paguristes sp. USNM 1297274. RNAcentral's name for it is "partial small subunit ribosomal RNA". The record is from RNAcentral. Lineage: Eukaryota; Metazoa; Arthropoda; Malacostraca; Decapoda; Diogenidae.
ACUUAUUCUUAAAAUUUAAAGCUAGAUUAUUAGUAGAUAUAUUCUUGAAAUUCAAAGAAUUUGGCGGUACUUUAAUCUUAUUAGAGGAACCUGUUUUAUAAACGAUAAACCACGAAAAAUCUUAUUUGUUUUAAAUAGUUUGUAUACCGUCAUUAUUAGAUAAUUUUGGAAAAAUUAAUUAUUAAAAUUAAUAAAUUUAAAUAUAUUAGAUCAAGGUGCAGCUUAUAGACAAGAGAAAAAUGGGUUACACUAAACUAGUUUAAACGGAGAUAGAUUUUCAUUUAAUCUAUUGAAGGCGGAUUUAAUUGUAUAUUUAGUUNAAUAUGCUAAAUAGAAAUUGGCUCUAAAGUAUGUACAUAUCGCCCGUC